RNAcentral lists this ribosomal RNA (453 nucleotides) under uncultured bacterium. RNAcentral's name for it is "bacterial SSU rRNA". It matches the Rfam family "Bacterial small subunit ribosomal RNA", at positions 8 to 507 of the family's 1533-position model. The record is from RNAcentral.
AGAGUUUGAUCCUGGCUCAGAACGAACGCUGGCGGCAUGCCUAACACAUGCAAGUCGAACGAAGCCUUCGGGCUUAGUGGCGCACGGGUGCGUAACGCGUGGGAAUCUGCCCUUGGGUUCGGAAUAACAGUUAGAAAUGACUGCUAAUACCGGAUGAUGUCUUCGGACCAAAGAUUUAUCGCCCAAGGAUGAGCCCGCGUAGGAUUAGGUAGUUGGUGGGGUAAUGGCCCACCAAGCCGACGAUCCUUAGCUGGUCUGAGAGGAUGAUCAGCCACACUGGGACUGAGACACGGCCCAGACUCCUACGGGAGGCAGCAGUGGGGAAUAUUGGACAAUGGGCGAAAGCCUGAUCCAGCAGUGCCGCGUGAGUGAUGAAGGCCUUAGGGUUGUAAAGCUCUUUUACCAGGGAUGAUAAUGACAGUACCUGGAGAAUAAGCUCCGGCUAACUCCGUG